Molecule: long non-coding RNA, 241 nt
Organism: Parasteatoda tepidariorum (common house spider)
Lineage: Eukaryota; Metazoa; Arthropoda; Arachnida; Araneae; Theridiidae
Source: RefSeq, a predicted model, not a curated record
GGGUUAGUUGAAUUAGCGAUUUCGCGACAUCAUGUUUUACUCUGGCUUUAAGCGAGUUUCCGGGCGCAGAACUUUUUUCCCAACUACUUUGGAAGUUUAAAGUUCUUCACUUGCAUCUGCUUUCUAAGUGAUCAUUUUUAUUUUUGACCUAAUGUCUAUUUCUUCGCUCUCUAAGACGGUAAAGAAGAAGAUUUUGCUCUUAGACAAUUAUUGCUGAAAUAAAACAUUGAAUUUAACAUGA